CCCCCAAUUUUCCUUAUUAAUCAUGGGGGGGUUAAAACCAAAAAAACCGGGCCCCCGUCCUAUUUUAUUAUUCCAUGCGUAAUGUAUUUAGGCAAAAGCCUGCUUUGAACCCUUUAAUUUUUUCAAGGUAAAAGUCCUGGUUUCCCCCCACGCUAAAUUAAAAACAUGAUGGUUCCCCAGAAGGUAGAAAUUUCACCCCCCAGUACGAGACAAUACCCGAACCACGCUGAACCCCCAAAAUUCACUUCCAA
This 251-nucleotide ribosomal RNA is filed under the name uncultured Gigaspora. RNAcentral describes it as "partial 18S ribosomal RNA". Lineage: Eukaryota; Fungi; Glomeromycota; Glomeromycetes; Diversisporales; Gigasporaceae. The record is from RNAcentral.